AGCGAACGCUGGCGGCAGGCUUAACACAUGCCAGUCGAGCGGGCACUUUCGGGUGUCAGCGGCGGACGGGUGAGUAACGCGUGGGAACGUGCCCUCUGGUUCGGAAUAACUCAGGGAAACUUGAGCUAAUACCGGAUACGCCCUUUUGGGGAAAGGCUUGCUGCCGGAGGAUCGGCCCGCGUCUGAUUAGCUAGUUGGUGAGGUAACGGCUCACCAAGGCGACGAUCAGUAGCUGGUCUGAGAGGAUGAUCAGCCACACUGGGACUGAGACACGGCCCAGACUCCUACGGGAGGCAGCAGUGGGGAAUAUUGGACAAUGGGCGCAAGCCUGAUCCAGCCAUGCCGCGUGAGUGAUGAAGGUCUUAGGGUUGUAAAGCUCUUUUAUCCGGGACGAUAAUGACGGUACCGGAGGAAUAAGCCCCGGCUAACUUCGUG
Molecule: ribosomal RNA, 435 nt
Filed under: uncultured bacterium
Lineage: Bacteria
Description: partial 16S ribosomal RNA
Rfam family: Bacterial small subunit ribosomal RNA
Source: RNAcentral